This 357-nucleotide RNase P RNA is filed under the name Acidobacteriota bacterium. Its description in RNAcentral is "RNase P RNA component class A". It matches the Rfam family "Bacterial RNase P class A". Rfam says of the family: Ribonuclease P (RNase P) is a ubiquitous endoribonuclease, found in archaea, bacteria and eukarya as well as chloroplasts and mitochondria. Its best characterised activity is the generation of mature 5'-ends of tRNAs by cleaving the 5'-leader elements of precursor-tRNAs. Lineage: Bacteria; Pseudomonadati; Acidobacteriota. The record is from RNAcentral.
UGAGUCGACUGGGUGGCCGCGCCGACCGGUGACGGGCGGUGAGGAAAGUCGGGGCUCCACAGGGCAGGGUGCUCGCGAAGCGAGUCGCGGCGACGUGCAGGACAGUGCCACAGAGAACAGACCGCCGAUGGCCCGGGCGACCGGGCACAGGUGAGGGUGAAACGGUGCGGUAAGAGCGCACCAGCGCCGCGGGCGACCGCGGCGGCUCGGUAAACCCCACCCGGAGCAAGAUCGAACAGGGGAGACGCGGCCCGCGGGUCCGGUGACGGACACUCCCCAGGUGGAUCGCUCAGAUGGAUGGCCGCCCACCCCUCCUCGGAGGGUGGACAGAACCCCGCUUACAGGUCGACUCACCAU